This is an RNA transcript of Gymnodraco acuticeps, 4578 nucleotides long. It is a transcript of the gene named golgin subfamily A member 7-like, with no coding region annotated. NCBI's taxonomy places the organism in Eukaryota, Metazoa, Chordata, Actinopteri, Perciformes, Bathydraconidae. The record is from RefSeq and is a predicted model, not a curated record. The transcript is spliced from 7 exons.
CUCCGGAGUGCUUAUUUUGUAGCACAUGCUAAAAGAGGCUAGCGGAAAACAAACACAACAUAAACCUUGUUCAUCAUGGUAGAGACUCACAGCCUGCAGGACAUGAGGCAGCAGGCGGCCGUCGCUGCCAAAGUCUUCCUCCAGAGAGAUUACUCCAACGGCACCGUGUGCCAGUUCCAGAGCAAGUUCCCCUCCGAGCUGGAGACCCGGAUUGACAAACAGCAGUUCGAGGAGACGAUGCAGACGCUGAAUAACUUGUACGCCGAAGCGGAGAAGUUGGGAAGCCAGUCGUAUAUCGAAGGCUGUCUGGCCUGCCUCACUGCGUACACCGUCUUCCUGUGUAUGGAGACGCACUACGAGAAGGUUUUGAAGAAGAUUGCAAAGUACAUUCAGGAGCAGAACGACAAGAUCUACGCCCCGCGAGGCCUCCUGCUCACCGACCCCAUCGAGAGAGGCCUAAGAGUCAUUGAGGUGACCAUCUUUGAAGACAGAAGCCUGACCAGAUAAAAGCUUCCACGUCUUGUGUUCAUCUUUGUGUUUCUGUAGCUAUCAAACAGUUCUUCAAGGUCCACAUCAGUGUCCCCUCCAAUGAGGACCCCCCAAAAGACCUGCACCCUAAAAACUGCGUCUCUACAAUCGACCCGUUCCAUGUAAUGUGCGUGAGAAUCCUUUAUGACCAAGAUAUCUUUAUUCCUGACCUCCUCUUACCUUUAAGGGUUAAAGUCUGCAAUCUGUUUGACAACUAGCUCAAUUUAAUGAGUAAUAACCCUUUAUUUUGGAUUAAAAAGCAACAUUUAGUAUAUUUAUUUGUGGGACACUCCAAGCCAAAACGUCAGGGUAAUUAAUGUCUAAUGAAGGAACUCAUCCAAACCAAUACUGUACUUUAUUAUCUUAUGAAAGCAUUUCAUCAAGAGGUUUGUUUGCUUUAUUCCUGAUUUCUUUCAAGGGUGUUAUUUAUCUUCCUGCAUGUUUACUUUAUAAUGUUUGACCUUAUAGUUAAAACUGACGACCCUUAAGAUCGUCAGCAUAAACACAUUCCAGUCAAUCGUUAAAAAAAUGUGCAUCUUUUAAAUGUAAGAAAGCCAAAACAUGUGCCCGCUCUGUAUUCAGUGUGUUAUAUAUUAUCAAUGCUUCUUUCUGUAAACUGUGCCAUGCAUAGUGUUUGGUGACUACUGUCUGAUAUAUCCAUAUUUUAUUGUGAGAUUUGCCUUUGACCGAAGUAUUAAAAGUGCUCUUGUUAGUUGACAUUGCCUGUAAUGGUUUUGAAUGUGUUGAUGUGAACAGGGAUGGUCACACCAGGGUUCAAAAUGUUAUUAUUCCAAUGAAAACGCUGCUAAUGGGUAUUUGCUCAAUGGGGGGGAAAGGUGAAUCAGCUCAGAUGUUUCACAUUGAGUCCAACUUUGGUGAGUUUGACUCUUACAUUAGCUUUUUUUAACCAAAAGAAAGCCAUCUUGACAACGCUUUAAAGGAACCAGGAGUUGGAAGGGUGGCUAAUAAGCUGUCGUAGCUUCCGUAGCUAAAUAGCUUCCGUAGAUAAUUAGCUGCUGUUUUGUACCUCAAAGUUUCUAAGCUGCUGUCUUUAUUCAGACAUUUAAUGAGUUGAGCCAAACACAGAAGUUGUUUAAAAGCACAUUUUAAUCUUCACUUGAAUCCACAAUGUUAAGUCACCCAAAAAAAUUAAAUAAGAAAAUAAAAUGUCUAAGAACGAAUGCACUAAGCGAACAAUUCCCAUUGGACACCUUCUUUACAUCUGGUGUCCAGUUUAAAUAAUGUUUUUAAUGGACAACAGUCAAUCCUACAAGUAUGUCCUUUGAAUUAACCAUGAAUUAUCCCGUUAGCUACUAAGCUAAGCUAACAACAGCCCGUUAGCAAGCGUGCUAUUUCUGAGCGCUUCAUUCCCCCUCUUUAAUAACUAUUUAUUUAUUUAAAAUGGUCUACACUGAGGAUUAAAGCACAAGUGGGAGUAAACAGAACUUUAAAGGUAAAAUCUGGGUUAUCACCAGAGUUAGCGGUUUGCUAGCCAGAGUUAGCGGUUUGCUAGCCAGAGUUAGAGGUUUGCGAGCCAGAGUUAGUUGUUUGCUAGCCAGAGUUAGAGGUAUGCUAGCCAGAGUUGGAGGUUUGCUAGCCAGAGUUAGAGGUUUGCGAGCCAGAGUUAGUUGUUUGCUAGCCAGACUUAGAGGUUUGCUAGCCAGAGUUAGAGGUUUGCUAGCCAGAGUUAGAGGUUUGCUAGCCAUAGUUAGAGGUUUGCGAGCCAGAGUUAGAGGUUUGCUAGCUAUAGUUAGAGGUUUGCUAGCCAGAGUUAGCGGUUUGCUAGCCAGAGUUAGCGGUUUGCUAGCCAGAGUUAGAGGUUUGCGAGCCAGAGUUAGUUGUUUGCUAGCCAGAGUUAGAGGUUUGCUAGCCAGAGUUGGAGGUUUGCUAGCCAGAGUUAGCGGUUUGCUAGCCAGAGUUAGAGGUUUGCGAGCCAGAGUUAGAGGUUUGCUAGCCAGAGUUAGAGGUUUGCUAGCCAUAGUUAGAGGUUUGCUAGCCAUAGUUAGAGGUUUGCUAGCCAGAGUUAGAGGUUUGCGAGCCAGAGUUAGAGGUUUGCUAGCCAUAGUUAGAGGUUUGCUAGCCAUAGUUAGAGGUUUGCUAGCCAGAGUUAGCGGUUUGCUAGCCAGAGUAAGCGGGUUGCUAGCCAGUUAGUGGUUUGCUAGCCAGAGUUAGCGGUUUGCUAGCCAGAGUAAGCGGGUUGCUAACCAGAGUUAGCGGUUUGCUAACCAGAGUUAGCGGUUUGCUAGUCAUAGUUAGAGGUUUGCUAGCCAGAGUUAGCGGUUUUCUAGCCAGAGUUAGCGGUUUUCUAGCCAGAGUUAGCAGCUAGCUACAGCAGAUGUCUGGCUAGCCCUGUGAGACUGUAUCCGAGCUUCUAGCACAAAAUACUUUGCAGAAAAGCACAAUUUAAAUUCCCUGCACAACCUCCGGGUGUGACCAGACCUUACCUGUGAAGCUGAAAUAAUGAUGUAAUGUUUAUAAAAUCUUUACAAAUGUUGGACAAACUGCUGUAUGUAAUGUUAGAGUAUAAAAUGACUAGAUGUACACGUACAGAUUUCUGAAUGCCAUUGCACAAAAGAUCAACCUUUUAUCGUGAUUUCUAAAGAUAAAAUGUCAUGUAUGAUUGUUGGUUUAGUUUAUUUAUCAGGAGUUCUGUUGACUGGACUUUUCUACGUUUCUUUUUUCAGUUGAAAUCCAUUUAUUUAUUUUUUUGAUCUAAAAGGUGUAUGCUGACAAAUAAAAAGUGUACAGAUUUUAACACGGUGCUGGAUCCUGAUUGUCAUGUCUUUUUUCACAUCUUAUGAAUCAAUCUUGCAAACAAGACACCAAGUUCCUGGUGCUUUUUUUAUGAUUUACAGUCGAGAAUUUAGGAUCCAAGAGUUGAACGGACUCCAGGGCUUCGGUUCAACUUGGUCUGCUUUCAAGGGCGAUAUUUAAUAGUCGUAGGGAUUUUUGAAACAUUGGUUUUAUUCUCACAGGAGCGGAGAGAGACGUAGGAUCUGAGAACACCACGACGCCUCAGUGGCUCGUCUGAUUUUCACUGACCUCUGACUUUUGUAGAAAGGAAACCCUCACCAGGAUCAGUAAGUCAUGCAUUCUUCUGUGUGGGUUUUUAACAACAGAGAUAUGAAAUACAUUUGAACUUUAACCCAGAGAUGGAAACCACAUGCGUGUUACAGAAGGAACGAACAUGUUAGCCUUUGUAGACCAUUUACAUGCACUAAAACCUACAUAAAGCACAAUAGGAACCCUUUAAUAGUGUGACCUGGUGACUACAUUACCCACAAUGCAAAGCCACUGCUCACAGCAUUAUACAACUUUUUCCUAUCAGUAAUAAUGCCUAUUUACAACCAAGUAAAGCUGCACAUCUUCACUUUAAAUAAGUACUUAUCAAUUUUUUAAAACAUAUUUGUUCUUUUAUUUACCUUUUUCUGUACCGUAUACAGCAAUGCAUGCUGGGAUAGCGAUUGAAUGGAUCCCAAAACAUCAGUUUUUUUGUGAAACCACUUUCUUCUGCAGUGUAGUGUUUGUUUUGAGCCACAAGGGGGCAGUGCUGCUGCAGUGCUGUUAAUACAACUAAUCCACCUGUGUAUAUCUUGUAAUAUACAUAGUAUAAAUUGUAGUAUAAUGUGUAACAUUUUUAUUCUACUUAUUAUUGGAAUUUUUUUCAUUUUAUUUCUUUUUUUUUUACUUGUUAUCUAUGUUUACAUAUUUUUAUUGUAUCUUCUAUUCGACAUUUUUCUUAAACUUCAGAUUAUUAUAUUACUAUUUUUACCACAUUUUCUUUUACUGGGAGGCGUGUGGCGCAGUGGACUAGUGCGUUGGUGUUGGGAUCAGGGGGUCACAGGUUCAAACCCCACUGCAGUCAGCAUGUCGUUGUGUCCCUGAGACGCCUCACCCCACAUUGCUCCUGUGGGGAUCGUCCACAGUGUUGAGUAUGUGAGUCGCUUUGGAUAAAAGCGUCUGACAUGUCAUGUAUUCACAUUUUUCAUAUUUCUUGGUGGGGAAAAAGAAAGUAAUGUCCGUUCUGAAAAAUAAAAUCUCACUGCUGUA